RNAcentral lists this non-coding RNA (25 nucleotides) under Drosophila melanogaster (fruit fly). Lineage: Eukaryota; Metazoa; Arthropoda; Insecta; Diptera; Drosophilidae. The record is from RNAcentral.
CAUAGAUCGAGGAACAUUCAGGUGC